UACGGAGGGUGCAAGCGUUAUCCGGAUUCACUGGGUUUAAAGGGUGCGUAGGUGGGCUAGUAAGUCAGUGGUGAAAUCUCCGGGCUUAACCCGGAAACUGCCAUUGAUACUAUUAGUCUUGAAUGUCGUGGAGGUAAGCGGAAUAUGUCAUGUAGCGGUGAAAUGCUUAGAUAUGACAUAGAACACCGAUAGCGGAGGCAGCUUACUACGCGAUUAUUGACACUGAGGCACGAAAGCGUGGGGAUCAAACAGG
RNAcentral lists this ribosomal RNA (253 nucleotides) under uncultured bacterium. RNAcentral's name for it is "partial 16S ribosomal RNA". It matches the Rfam family "Bacterial small subunit ribosomal RNA", at positions 524 to 776 of the family's 1533-position model. The record is from RNAcentral.